CUUUACACAUGCAAGUCGAACGGCAGCGCGGGGGCAACCCUGGCGGCGAGUGGCGAACGGGUGAGUAAUAUAUCGGAACGUACCCAGGAGUGGGGGAUAACGUAGCGAAAGUUACGCUAAUACCGCAUACGUCCUACGGGAGAAAGUGGGGGAUCGCAAGACCUCAUGCUCAUGGAGCGGCCGAUAUCUGAUUAGCUAGUUGGUAGGGUAAAGGCCUACCAAGGCAUCGAUCAGUAGCUGGUCUGAGAGGACGACCAGCCACACUGGAACUGAGACACGGUCCAGACUCCUACGGGAGGCAGCAGUGGGGAAUUUUGGACAAUGGGCGCAAGCCUGAUCCAGCAAUGCCGCGUGAGUGAAGAAGGUCUUCGGGUUGUAAAGCUCUUUUGUCAGGGAAGAAACGGGUUUGGCUAAUAUCCAGAUCUAAUAACGGUACCUGAAGAAUAAGCACCGGCUAACUACGUGCCAGCAGCCGCGGUAAUACGUAGGGUGCAAGCGUUAAUCGGAAUUACUGGGCGUAAAGCGCGCGUAGGUGGUUCGUUAAGUUGGAUGUGAAAUCCCCGGGCUCAACCUGGGAACUGCAUUCAAAACUGACGAGCUAGAGUAAGGUAGAGGGUGGUGGAAUUUCCUGUGUAGCGGUGAAAUGCGUAGAUAUAGGAAGGAACACCAGUGGCGAAGGCGACCACCUGGACUGAUACUGACACUGAGGUGCGAAAGCGU
RNAcentral lists this ribosomal RNA (720 nucleotides) under uncultured soil bacterium. Its description in RNAcentral is "bacterial SSU rRNA". It matches the Rfam family "Bacterial small subunit ribosomal RNA", at positions 47 to 762 of the family's 1533-position model. The record is from RNAcentral.